Non-coding RNA from Triticum aestivum (bread wheat), 138 nucleotides. Lineage: Eukaryota; Viridiplantae; Streptophyta; Magnoliopsida; Poales; Poaceae. The record is from Rfam.
CUUGUACUCCCUCCGUUCCAAAAUAGAUGACCCAACUUUCUAUUAAAGUUAGUACAAAGUUGAGUCAUCUAUGACCCAACUUUCUAUUAAAGUUAGUACAAAGUUGAGUCAUCUAUUUUGGAACGGAGGGAGUAGAAC